This 464-nucleotide ribosomal RNA is filed under the name Lachnospiraceae bacterium canine oral taxon 161. Its description in RNAcentral is "bacterial SSU rRNA". It matches the Rfam family "Bacterial small subunit ribosomal RNA", at positions 9 to 456 of the family's 1533-position model. The record is from RNAcentral. Lineage: Bacteria; Bacillati; Bacillota; Clostridia; Lachnospirales; Lachnospiraceae.
GAGUUUGAUCCUGGCUCAGGAUGAACGCUGGCGGCAUGCCUAACACAUGCAAGUUGAACGAGAAGUUCUGGAGGGAGUCUUCGGACGAACGAAGGGAUGGAAAGUAGCGAACGGGUGAGUAACGCGUGGGCAACCAACCUUACACAGGGGGAUAACACAGAGAAAUCUGUGCUAAUACCGCAUAAGCGCACAGUAUCACAUGAUACGGUGUGAAAAACUCUGGUGGUGUAAGACGGGCCCGCGUCUGAUUAGCUAGUUGGUGGGGUAAAAGCCUACCAAGGCGACGAUCAGUAGCCGACCUGAGAGGGUGAUCGGCCACAUUGGGACUGAGACACGGCCCAAACUCCUACGGGAGGCAGCAGUGGGGGAUAUUGCACAAUGGAGGAAACUCUGAUGCAGCAAUGCCGCGUGAAGGAAGACGGUUUUCGGAUUGUAAACUUCUAUCAGCAGGGAAGAAAAUGACG